RNAcentral lists this transfer RNA (67 nucleotides) under Cautires sp. UPOL A00017. RNAcentral's name for it is "tRNA-Phe". Lineage: Eukaryota; Metazoa; Arthropoda; Insecta; Coleoptera; Lycidae. The record is from RNAcentral.
UAUUUUAAUAGCUUAUAUUUAAAGUUUAAUAUUGAAGAUAUUAAGAGGACUUUUUGUCUUAAAAUAU